This 576-nucleotide ribosomal RNA is filed under the name uncultured bacterium. RNAcentral's name for it is "partial 16S ribosomal RNA". It matches the Rfam family "Bacterial small subunit ribosomal RNA", at positions 355 to 923 of the family's 1533-position model. The record is from RNAcentral.
UGGGGAAUUUUGGACAAUGGGCGAAAGCCUGAUCCAGCAAUGCCGCGUGUGUGAAGAAGGCCUUCGGGUUGUAAAGCACUUUUGUCCGGAAAGAAAUCCUUGGCUCUAAUACAGUCGGGGGAUGACGGUACCGGAAGAAUAAGCACCGGCUAACUACGUGCCAGCAGCCGCGGUAAUACGUAGGGUGCAAGCGUUAAUCGGAAUUACUGGGCGUAAAGCGUGCGCAGGCGGUUUGCUAAGACCGAUGUGAAAUCCCCGGGCUCAACCUGGGAACUGCAUUGGUGACUGGCAGGCUAGAGUAUGGCGGAGGGGGGUAAAUUCCACGUGUAGCAGUGAAAUGCGUAGAGAUGUGGAGGAAUACCGAUGGCGAAGGCAGCCCCCUGGGCCAAUACUGACGCUCAUGCACGAAAAGCGUGGGGAGCAAAACAGGAUUAGAUACCCUGGUAGUCCACGCCCUAAACGAUGUCAACUAGUUGUUGGGGAUUCAUUUCCUUAGUAACGUAGCUAACGCGUGAAGUUGACCGCCUGGGGAGUACGGUCGCAAGAUUAAAACUCAAAGGAAUUGACGGGGUCAUA